UACGUAGGUGACCAGCGUUGUCCGGAUUUACUGGGCGUAAAGAGCGCGCAGGCGGUCGGAUUAGUCGCGUGUGAAAGCCCCCGGCUCAACUGGGGAGGGUCACGCGAUACUGUUCGACUCGAAGGCAGGAGAGGGAAGUGGAAUUCCCGGUGUAGUGGUGAAAUGCGUAGAUAUCGGGAGGAACACCAGUGGCGAAGGCGACUUCCUGGCCUGUUCUUGACGCUGAGGCGCGAAAGCUAGGGUAGCAAACGGG
Molecule: ribosomal RNA, 253 nt
Filed under: uncultured bacterium
Lineage: Bacteria
Description: partial 16S ribosomal RNA
Rfam family: Bacterial small subunit ribosomal RNA
Source: RNAcentral